AGAGUGGCGCACGGGUGAGUAACGCGUAGGUAAUCUACCCUUAUAUUUGGGAUAACAUCGGGAAACCCAGGCUAAUACCGCAUACGCCCUUCGGGGGAAAGGCUUCGGCCGCUAUUAGAUGAGCCUAUGUCUGAUUAGCUUGUUGGUGGGGUAAUGGCCUACCAAGGCGACGAUCAGUAGCUGGUCUGAGAGGACGAUCAGCCACACUGGGACUGAGACACGGCCCAG
This 228-nucleotide ribosomal RNA is filed under the name uncultured bacterium. RNAcentral's name for it is "partial 16S ribosomal RNA". It matches the Rfam family "Bacterial small subunit ribosomal RNA", at positions 92 to 334 of the family's 1533-position model. The record is from RNAcentral.